GGGCCCGCACAAGCGGUGGAGCAUGUGGUUUAAUUCGAUGAUACGCGAGGAACCUUACCAGGGCUUAAAUGUAGUGGGACAGGUCUAGAGAUAGACCUUUCUUCGGACUCAUUACAAGGUGCUGCAUGGUUGUCGUCAGCUCGUGCCGUGAGGUGUCAGGUUAAGUCCUAUAACGAGCGCAACCCCUAUCGUUAGUUGCCAGCGGGUCAUGCCGGGAACUCUAGCGAAACUGCCGGUGCAAACCGAGAGGAAGGUGGGGAUGACGUCAAAUCAUCACGGCCCUUACGUCCUGGGCCACACACGUGCUACAAUGGCCGGUACAGAGAGCAGCGAAGUCGCGAGGCCAAGCAAAUCCCUUAAAACCGUUCGUAGUCCGGAUUGGAGUCUGCAACUCGACUCCAUGAAGUCGGAAUCGCUAGUAAUCG
This 425-nucleotide ribosomal RNA is filed under the name uncultured bacterium. RNAcentral describes it as "bacterial SSU rRNA". It matches the Rfam family "Bacterial small subunit ribosomal RNA", at positions 917 to 1344 of the family's 1533-position model. The record is from RNAcentral.